Molecule: small nucleolar RNA, 98 nt
Organism: Hevea brasiliensis (rubber tree)
Lineage: Eukaryota; Viridiplantae; Streptophyta; Magnoliopsida; Malpighiales; Euphorbiaceae
Source: RefSeq, a predicted model, not a curated record
UCUUGUUGAUGAUGCUACUUGAUAAUCCCAGCUCAUUAUGAGAUCUUUCUAUUGGAAGGUAUAGAAAUAGAUUUCUUCAAUUAUAUUUGAGCCUAAAA